AUUGAACGCUGGCGGCAUGCCUUACACAUGCAAGUCGAACGGCAGCACGGACUUCGGUCUGGUGGCGAGUGGCGAACGGGUGAGUAAUAUAUCGGAACAUACCUUGUAGUGGGGGAUAACUAUCCGAAAGGAUAGCUAAUACCGCACACGAUCUAAGGAUGAAAGCGGGGGAUCUUCGGACCUCGUGCUAUAAGAGUGGCCGAUAUCUGAUUAGCUAGUUGGUGAGGGAAAGGCUCACCAAGGCGACGAUCAGUAGCUGGUCUGAGAGGACGACCAGCCACACUGUAACUGAGACACGGGCCAGAGUCCAGAGGGAGGCAGCAGUGGGGAAUUUUGGACAAUGGGGGCAACCCUGAUCCAGCAAUGCCGCGUGAGUGAAGAAGGCCUUCGGGUUGUAAAGCUCUUUUGUCAGGGAAGAAACGGUUGUGGCUAAUAUCCAUGGCUAAUGACGGUACCUGAAGAAUAAGCACCGGCUAACUACGUGCCAGCAGCCGCCGUAA
RNAcentral lists this ribosomal RNA (500 nucleotides) under uncultured bacterium. RNAcentral's name for it is "partial 16S ribosomal RNA". It matches the Rfam family "Bacterial small subunit ribosomal RNA", at positions 30 to 523 of the family's 1533-position model. The record is from RNAcentral.